AACCAGCACCUCAAGUGGUCAGGAGGAUUAUUGGGCCUAAAGCAUCCGUAGCCGGCUCUGUAAGUUUUCGGUUAAAUCUAUGUGCUCAACAUAUAGGCUGCCGAAAAUACUGCAUAGCUAGGGAAUGGGAGAGGUAGACGGUACCCGGUAGGAAGGGGUAAAAUCCAGUCAUCCUGAGGGGACCACCUGUUGCGAAGGCGCCAUACUAGAACGGAUCCGACGGUCAGGGACGAAGCCUAGGGGCACGAACCGG
This 253-nucleotide ribosomal RNA is filed under the name uncultured archaeon. RNAcentral describes it as "partial 16S ribosomal RNA". It matches the Rfam family "Archaeal small subunit ribosomal RNA", at positions 474 to 727 of the family's 1478-position model. The record is from RNAcentral.